RNAcentral lists this ribosomal RNA (213 nucleotides) under Acartia tonsa. RNAcentral's name for it is "partial large subunit ribosomal RNA". The record is from RNAcentral. Lineage: Eukaryota; Metazoa; Arthropoda; Copepoda; Calanoida; Acartiidae.
UAUUUGUAGCCGCAAUUCAACAUCGAGGUCGCAAACAAUUAUUUUAAUAAGGGCUUAAAUAAUUAUAACGCUGUUAUCCCUAGAGUACCUUAUUCGUCUAAUUUAAUAAAGAUCAUUGUUAAUAUAAAUAGUCCUAUUUAAAUUUACCCCAAAUAAACUUGUGUACAAUUAUUACUUCAUUAAUUAAGUAAAGGUUCAUAGGGUCUUCUCGUC